This 435-nucleotide ribosomal RNA is filed under the name uncultured bacterium. Its description in RNAcentral is "partial 16S ribosomal RNA". It matches the Rfam family "Bacterial small subunit ribosomal RNA", at positions 29 to 507 of the family's 1533-position model. The record is from RNAcentral.
AGCGAACGCUGGCGGCAGGCUUAACACAUGCAAGUCGAGCGGGCAUCUUCGGAUGUCAGCGGCAGACGGGUGAGUAACACGUGGGAACGUACCCUUCGGUUCGGAACAACUCUGGGAAACUGGAGCUAAUACCGGAUACGCCCUUAUGGGGAAAGGUUUACUGCCGAAGGAUCGGCCCGCGUCUGAUUAGCUAGUUGGUGGGGUAACGGCCUACCAAGGCGACGAUCAGUAGCUGGUCUGAGAGGAUGAUCAGCCACACUGGGACUGAGACACGGCCCAGACUCCUACGGGAGGCAGCAGUGGGGAAUAUUGGACAAUGGGCGCAAGCCUGAUCCAGCCAUGCCGCGUGAGUGAUGAAGGCCUUAGGGUUGUAAAGCUCUUUUGUCCGGGACGAUAAUGACGGUACCAGAAGAAUAAGCCCCGGCUAACUUCGUG